RNAcentral lists this ribosomal RNA (676 nucleotides) under Enterococcus faecalis. RNAcentral's name for it is "partial 23S ribosomal RNA". It matches the Rfam family "Bacterial large subunit ribosomal RNA", at positions 1483 to 2167 of the family's 2925-position model. Lineage: Bacteria; Bacillati; Bacillota; Bacilli; Lactobacillales; Enterococcaceae. The record is from RNAcentral.
UAAGGAAUGCAUGCGAUUGGAAGUGCAUGUCCAAGCAAUGAGUCUUGAGUAGAGUUAAAUGCUUUACUCUUUAAGGACAAGUUGUGACGGGGAGCGAAAUAAUAGUAGCGAAGUUCCUGAUGUCACACUGCCAAGAAAAGCUUCUAGUGAGAAAACAACUGCCCGUACCGUAAACCGACACAGGUAGUCGAGGAGAGUAUCCUAAGGUGAGCGAGCGAACUCUCGUUAAGGAACUCGGCAAAAUGACCCCGUAACUUCGGGAGAAGGGGUGCUGACUUCGGUCAGCCGCAGUGAAUAGGCCCAAGCGACUGUUUAUCAAAAACACAGGUCUCUGCAAAAUCGUAAGAUGAAGUAUAGGGGCUGACGCCUGCCCGGUGCUGGAAGGUUAAGAGGAUGGGUUAGCUUCGGCGAAGCUCAGAAUUGAAGCCCCAGUAAACGGCGGCCGUAACUAUAACGGUCCUAAGGUAGCGAAAUUCCUUGUCGGGUAAGUUCCGACCCGCACGAAAGGCGUAACGAUUUGGGCACUGUCUCAACGAGAGACUCGGUGAAAUUUUAGUACCUGUGAAGAUGCAGGUUACCCGCGACAGGACGGAAAGACCCCAUGGAGCUUUACUGUAGUUUGAUAUUGAGUGUUUGUACCACAUGUACAGGAUAGGUAGGAGCCGAUGAGACCGGA